RNAcentral lists this ribosomal RNA (468 nucleotides) under uncultured bacterium. RNAcentral describes it as "partial 16S ribosomal RNA". It matches the Rfam family "Bacterial small subunit ribosomal RNA", at positions 28 to 507 of the family's 1533-position model. The record is from RNAcentral.
GACGAACGCUGGCGGCGUGCUUAACACAUGCAAGUCGAACGGAAAGGCCCUGCUUUUGUGGGGUGCUCGAGUGGCGAACGGGUGAGUAACACGUGAGUAACCUGCCCUUGACUUUGGGAUAACUUCAGGAAACUGGGGCUAAUACCGGAUAGGAGCUCCUGCUGCAUGGUGGGGGUUGAAAAGUUUCGGCGGUUGGGGAUGGACUCGCGGCUUAUCAGCUUGUUGGUGGGGUAGUGGCUUACCAAGGCUUUGACGGGUAGCCGGCCUGAGAGGGUGACCGGCCACAUUGGGACUGAGAUACGGCCCAGACUCCUACGGGAGGCAGCAGUGGGGAAUAUUGCACAAUGGGCGGAAGCCUGAUGCAGCAACGCCGCGUGCGGGAUGACGGCCUUCGGGAUGUAAACCGCUUUCGCCUGUGACGAAGCGUGAGUGACGGUAAUGGGUAAAGAAGCACCGGCUAACUACGUG